UACGGGAGGCAGCAGUGGGGAAUAUUGCACAAUGGGCGCAAGCCUGAUGCAGCCAUGCCGCGUGUAUGAAAAAGGCCUUCGGGUUGUAAAGUACUUUCAGUCGUGAGGAAGGUGUUAAGGUUAAUAACCUUAGCAAUUGACGUUAGCGACAGAAGAAGCACCGGCUAACUCCGUGCCAGCAGCCGCGGUAAUACGGAGGGUGCGAGCGUUAAUCGGAAUUACUGGGCGUAAAGGGCACGCAGGCGGUUAAUUAAGUUGGAUGUGAAAUCCCCGGGCUUAACCUGGGAAUGGCAUUCAAGACUGGUUAGCUAGAGUCUUGUAGAGGGGGUAGAAUUCCAUGUGUAGCGGUGAAAUGCGUAGAGAUGUGGAGGAAUACCGGUGGCGAAGGCGGCCCCUGGACAAAGACUGACGCUCAUGUGCGAAAGCUGGGGAGCAAACAGGGAUUAGAUACCCG
RNAcentral lists this ribosomal RNA (454 nucleotides) under uncultured bacterium. RNAcentral describes it as "bacterial SSU rRNA". It matches the Rfam family "Bacterial small subunit ribosomal RNA", at positions 340 to 788 of the family's 1533-position model. The record is from RNAcentral.